UAAAUUACUUUACAGUUCUGCCAUUGUAGAGGUCCUUAGGCACAGAUCUAGGAUCAGAAUACAGUAAAUGUACUGUACAGUUCUGCCAUUGUAGAGGUCCUUAGGCACAGAUCUAGGAUCAGAAUACAGUAAAUUACUGUACAGUUCUGCCAUUGUAGAGGUCCUUAGGCACAGAUCUAGGAUCAGAAUACAGUAAAUUACUGUACAGUUCUGCCAUUGUAGAGGUCCUUAGGCACAGAUCUAGGACCAGAACACAGUAAAUGUACUGUACAGUUCAGUAGAGGUUGUCCUUAGGCACAGAUCUAGGAUCAGCUUACCCAUCCCAAAACCUAACUUAAAGGGCUAUCCAGGAUUGGUACAUCCAGUUUUUUUUACUUUUAAAUGAUUGAUUUAUUGCUCUUGGUUCUUGUAGAAUAUAACUUAAAACUGCCUUGUGACCAGGUCAACAGUCGUUCCCCAUCAGUACCCCAACUAUAAGCUUGUUUUCACUCCAUUGUUUGUCCACGAUGUAAAGGUUUAAAACAUGGUUAAAAGUAUCCUGUUGAUCUCAUGGAUGGUCAGUCCUUGCAUCCAGAGAUCCAUCUGUGAUGUUGAGAGUGGUUCAAUCUAUCCAGGCCCAUCCCUCAGCUGUUAACCACAACAAGUGAUGGGAUGACCUGUUAGUUGCUUUUUAAAUCCCAGACUGCCCCUUUAAGGUUCCACCUAGAACUUGGUCUCAGAGUAACCAUGGAGAUUCAGUAGAGUCUUAAAACAAUCUAAAAAACGUCUACAUUCAAUGUUGUAUGUUUUAUAUUCUAUUCUGUUGCACUUUUACUUCGACAAGUUGUGUAUUUUAUACUUUUAAAGAACGUACCAUUUUCAUGUCCUUUAUCAACACUGUUCUGAAUGUAAGCACUUAGUGUUGUACUUGACUGUGUACUCUGUAGUGUGUGUGUGUGUGUGUGUGUGUGUGUGUGUGUAUGUGAGAGAGAGUGGGUAUGUUUCGGUAGCUUUAGCCACAAUAAAACGUUGCUACAAAUAACCUACUGUAGAUGUCUUCUUACCACACACACACGCAAACACACACACAGAAACACACACACACACACACACACACACACACACACACACACACACACACACACACACACACACACACACAUGCAAACACAAACACACACAGACAGACACACACACACACACACAUGCAAACACACACAUACACACAGACACACACAGAAACACACACACACACAUGCAAACACAA
Oncorhynchus tshawytscha (Chinook salmon) is the source of this 1246-nucleotide long non-coding RNA. The record is from Ensembl. NCBI's taxonomy places the organism in Eukaryota, Metazoa, Chordata, Actinopteri, Salmoniformes, Salmonidae.